GUUACAGGGUAAAUGUAGCGUUAGAGGGUAAAUGUGGCGUUAGAGGGUAAAUGUAGCGUUAGAAGGUAAAUGUGGCGUUAGAGUGUAAAUGUGGCGUUAGAGGGUAAAUGUGGCGUUAGAGGGUAAAUGUGGCGUUAGAGGGUAAAUGUAGCGUUAGAGGGUAAAUGUAGCGUUAGAGGGUAAAUGUAGCGUUAGAAGGUAAAUGUAGCGUUAGAGGGUAAAUGUAGCGUUAGAGGGUAAAUGUAGCAUUAGAGGGUAAAUGUAGCGUUAGAAGGUAAAUGUAGCGUUAGAAGGUAAAUGUAGCAUUAGAGGGUAAAUGUAGCGUUAGAGGGUAAAUGUAGCAUUAGAGGGUAAAUGUGGCGUUAGAAGGUAAAUGUAGCAUUAGAGGGUAAAUGUAGCAUUAGAAGGUAAAUGUAGCAUUAGAAGGUAAAUGUAGCAUUAGAGGGUAAAUGUAGCGUUAGAAGGUAAAUGUAGCGUUAGAAGGUAAAUGUAGCAUUAGAGGGUAAAUGUAGCGUUAGAGGGUAAAUGUAGCGUUAGAAGGUAAAUGUAGCAUUAGAGGGUAAAUGUAGCAUUAGAGGGUAAAUGUAGCGUUAGAAGGUAAAUGUAGCGUUAGAGGGUAAAUGUAGCAUUAGAGGGUAAAUGUAGCAUUAGAGGGUAAAUGUAGCGUUACAGGGUAAAUGUAGCGUUAGAGGGUAAAUGUAGCAUUAGAGGGUAAAUGUAGCGUUACAGGGUAAAUGUAGCGUUAGAGGGUAAAUGUGGCGUUAGAGGGUAAAUGUAGCGUUAGAAGGUAAAUGUAGCGUUAGAGGGUAAAUGUAGCAUUAGAGGGUAAAUGUAGCAUUAGAGGGUAAAUGUAGCGUUACAGGGUAAAUGUAGCGUUAGAGGGUAAAUGUAGCAUUAGAGGGUAAAUGUAGCGUUACAGGGUAAAUGUAGCGUUACAGGGUAAAUGUAGCGUUAGAGGGUAAAUGUGGCGUUAGAGGGUAAAUGUAGCAUUAGAGGGUAAAUGUAGCAUUAGAGGGUUAAUGUAGCGUUACAGGGUAAAUGUAGCGUUAGAGGGUAAAUGUGGCGUUAGAGGGUAAAUGUAGC
Long non-coding RNA from Acanthochromis polyacanthus (spiny chromis), 1083 nucleotides. RefSeq lists it as uncharacterized. The transcript has 4 exons. Lineage: Eukaryota; Metazoa; Chordata; Actinopteri; Pomacentridae. The record is from RefSeq and is a predicted model, not a curated record.